Molecule: long non-coding RNA, 655 nt
Organism: Peromyscus eremicus (cactus mouse)
Lineage: Eukaryota; Metazoa; Chordata; Mammalia; Rodentia; Cricetidae
Exons: 2
Source: RefSeq, a predicted model, not a curated record
AAUGGGGCAGGAAGUGCUGGGGAGGUGUUCGUGGGAUAGAGCGCUGCCUUAGAGUGUGAAGUGGCUCAAUUGUCAGGAAGCCAAAGGGGCAUAAUCUUUCCCCUCUUGGAUGUGGAGAUGAGCUACCCACUUUGGGACAGGGCUACUAUAAGCUCAGUGACAGCCCCGAACUCAACACCUCACUUCCUCCUCCAGGCCGCUGAUACCCAGGACUCCACUGCCUAGGAUCAGCCUCCUCCACCCAGAUGGAGCUCCUGUGGAUAGGUCUCAUCUUGCUGGAGAUGAUGCAAACCCAGGCCCAAGGCCCAAGAAGGCAUGGGGGGCUCCCUCAAGUCCCACACCCCAAUUUGCCUUUUCACAAGAUCUGUCUCCUGCCCAGCCAGGGGAAGGAGAGAGUGACUGUGAGCUCAGGCCGAGCAGGCCCUGUUCCCAUGGGUAGGAGCCUGGAACGGAGAGCUCAGCCCAAUGCCAACCCUACACAGACUCCAUAUUCUCCUGUGGCCCUCGGGACCCUCCAGGCCAGAAGACCACCCAUCAGACUUGGCUGACCAUGGCAGACUCGGCCCCCUCCACAUCCCAGCGAGACUUGUGCCCCUCCUCACAGGCGUUCAGCCUCAUCCGCCCCCAGCACAAAUAAACACCUGUCACAGAGGAA